UAGGGAAUCUUCGGCAAUGGACGAAAGUCUGACCGAGCAACGCCGCGUGAGUGAAGAAGGUUUUCGGAUCGUAAAACUCCGUUGGUAGAGAAGAACGUUGGUGAGAGUGGAAAGCUCAUCAAGUGACGGUAACUACCCAGAAAGGGACGGCUAACUACGUGCCACCAG
This 168-nucleotide ribosomal RNA is filed under the name uncultured bacterium. RNAcentral describes it as "partial 16S rRNA". It matches the Rfam family "Bacterial small subunit ribosomal RNA", at positions 355 to 514 of the family's 1533-position model. The record is from RNAcentral.